UUGAUAUUAGUCAUUUCAUUUGGUUAUUGAAUUUGAGUUCCAAAUUAGCAAUGGCUUUCUGCCUUACAUUUUAUUAUUGUGGAAUAGAUUCCAUUGAAAUAACCAUCUAGCUAUAUGUUUUACAGGAAAAAUAAACUGCACACUUGUACAAAUAUUAUAACUUAAAGCAAUUUCACAUUGAAAUUUUUUCAGUAGACAAUGUUGAAGGGUAGGUGCUGUGACGGGUUUUCUCUCAAUACG
Molecule: unclassified non-coding RNA, 240 nt
Filed under: Hevea brasiliensis (rubber tree)
Lineage: Eukaryota; Viridiplantae; Streptophyta; Magnoliopsida; Malpighiales; Euphorbiaceae
Source: RNAcentral